RNAcentral lists this ribosomal RNA (467 nucleotides) under uncultured bacterium. RNAcentral describes it as "partial 16S ribosomal RNA". It matches the Rfam family "Bacterial small subunit ribosomal RNA", at positions 29 to 507 of the family's 1533-position model. The record is from RNAcentral.
ACGCACGCUGUCGGCGUGCUUAACACAUGCAAGUCGCACGAUGAUGCCAGCUUGCUGGUGGACUAGUGGCGAACGGGUGAGUAACACGUGAGCAACCUGCCCCUGACUUCGGGAUAACCGCGGGAAACCGUGGCUAAUACCGGAUAUGACGCGCUAUCGCAUGGUGGUGUGUGGAAAGAUUUAUCGGUUGGGGAUGGGCUCGCGGCCUAUCAGCUUGUUGGUGGGGUGAUGGCCUACCAAGGCGACGACGGGUAGCCGGCCUGAGAGGGUGACCGGCCACACUGGGACUGAGACACGGCCCAGACUCCUACGGGAGGCAGCAGUGGGGAAUAUUGCACAAUGGGCGCAAGCCUGAUGCAGCGACGCCGCGUGAGGGAUGACGGCCUUCGGGUUGUAAACCUCUUUCAGUAGGGAAGAAGGCCUUCGGGUUGACGGUACCUGCAGAAGAAGCGCCGGCUAACUACGUG